This 2224-nucleotide unclassified non-coding RNA is filed under the name Hevea brasiliensis (rubber tree). Lineage: Eukaryota; Viridiplantae; Streptophyta; Magnoliopsida; Malpighiales; Euphorbiaceae. The record is from RNAcentral.
UUUUUUUUUUUUUCUCUCUCUUUUCUUCACUUAUUUUGCGUUAGAGUUAAGUCUUUCAAGAAAUGCAUUUAGCCUCAAUUUUAGAUAGUUAUGCUACGUUGGGUUCUUUGUUUGGACAUUUAACACUACUGCAGGAUGAAGCAAUUAGGGUUCUAUUCUGCAAUUAGAGUUUGAAUUCAAUUAUGUGUUGUUGCCUAAGUAUUAUUGUUUCAACUCAGGAUUAUUUGCAUCUUGAUUUGUAUGAAAUGCUUUUCUUUUAUUUGGCUGGAGUCUUGCCACUGAUUAAUGCCUCGUUUAGUAUGAUGCAGUUAUAGGAAGUUGGUUUUCUGAGUUGAAGAUGCAUAUGGUAGUAAAAUUGGUAAAACAAUAAAUAGCUCCAAUUUUGUGCCUUGUAUUCUUUCGCAAAUUGAGCUUCUGAAUCAACAUUCAAUAAGUUGUUCUUGUGCAAGUGUUGAAAAUUUGCGAUUUAUAGAGUGCAGCCGUGAAAUUGCAAUGCAACUUGUUGCAUCCAUGGAGACCCUGGCACAAAUUAACUGGCGAUGAACAUUAAUUUAAUCAAUGGUAAAGAGGAGUUUACUUGGUGAUACUUUUCCCCCGUUUCUCUUGAACAAAAGCGUUGUGCAUUCUUGUUUUGAUAUCUCUAUUAACAUAGUAUGCAUUUGUUUGGGAUGCUAUGUAUAUUUUUGGAGUUUUUUCUUUGUGGAAAUGGUAUCUGAAGAUUAUCUGGCAUGCUUGAUGGUCCUGGUACACUUAGAUAUUCCAAAUUUAAGAAAAUAGCUAUUGCCUCUCUGCCAUUUUGAUGGACAGAUUCAGAAACCAGCCUUCCAGUGCUUUUAUGGUUGGCAAUUAUCAAUUAAUUGAUGAGUUCUAGGUUCAGAAUUAAAGAAGAAAGGAGUAUGAGCUUAGGAAACUAAUUUGGUGGCCUUUUUUGAAGCUAUGAGCGCUACCUAUGAUACUGUAGCAGCAGAAAUAUGAAAGAAAGAAAAGGAGAAGAGAAAGGUAAUAGAAAUGAGGGAUUCUUAGGCAUAUGUGCCUUUAAACCAAAUCAAAACACUGAAGUUCCAUUAUCAAAAGCCUAAAAGGUAAGGAACUAACUAUUUGCAUGUGUGUACAAAGAGAUUUAAUUACUAAUCCUAUUGCUGUUAGGAUUACGAAUCCCAAACUAGGAAAUUCUGAACCAAUCCUAAAUAGGAAGCAAGUAAAAUUUCUAAAUAAGAUAACUCCUGAAAUUUUAGAAGAAGAAAAAUUCUUCCUAAUUUGGAAGAAUAGAAGUUUUAUGAUAUUCCUAAACAAAAAAACCUAAAUUAUAAAAACUAAGAACUAAAUCAGAAUAACUUAAUUUCUUUUUAAUGGAUUGCUUUACCUCUCCCUCACCCUUAGGCACUGUUAAAUUAAGUUUUUGCAUGUGCAAUGACAACCAGGGGAAGAAACAUAAAAAUUGUGUACUUUGUUGAGAGGGCUUCUCCUCUUUUUGUUUUUGUUAAAUCUAAAUAUUAAACGGUGGGAGGUCCCCAUCCUGUUGUCAUGAAUGUGUGACCUUCUAGCCGAAGUCUAAAGUUUUGGCCACUGGCCUCUUGAGUGUUUAUAUAUGUGAAUGGAAUUUGAACUAUGAUGUGAUUCAGAUGAUUUUGAUUCCAUACAAUGAUAAUGGAAUUGCAUUUUUCAGUCUAAACAAAGCUGUAUGUAAAUAUUGUCACAGGUCCAUUUGGUCAGGGUCAGAUGCAGAAGCCUUUUGAAGAUGCAACAUUUGCUCUUAAGGUUGGUGAGAUAAGUGACAUCGUGGACACUGACAGUGGGGUGCACAUUAUCAUGAGAACUGGUUAAUUACAGAAGUAUUGAAUAUAUCCAAUGAUUUUUCAGUAUACUUGUCAAACAGAUGACAAGAUUGCAUUUUGCUUUCAGUUAACUUAAUGCCACCAUAUUGUGGUGCUACUUCUUGGGUUCUUGUUGUGUGAGAUAUUGACUUAUUGAUGCAUUGUUCGCUUGCACUAGUCUGAUUCGAAUGCUUGGGAUUACAUUGCCCCUGAAAAUUUCUGGUUGUGGUUUGAGAUAAUUUGACUGACUAUGAUAAGGACUUUUAUUUUAAGCUUUGUUUAUAUCUAGUAUGUAAUUUUGUCAGGAUUUUUAUUACUUGCGGGACACAAAUGCAGGAUAAUUCAGCGAAUGGGAGCUUAUUUUUCUAAUUAAAAAACAAUCUUAAAGCACAACCAUGUAAAACUUAUGC